AGCUCCGCCCCGUCGCAGGCGGGAUUGGUGGAGGUGCAGACCAACCGAGAAAGAUGGGUCGGUAUCUGAAACAAAGCACGCGAAAUGUUCCCCGAAAAACCGAGAACGGAAAACGCAGUAGGGGCAUCUUCUAUCCCGCUGCACCAAAUAAGAGAGGUAACCCAUACCUCGCGCCUAGCCCAUCGCGUUCGGAUCUCCUACUUGCCUCGCAUGCCUCAGAGCGGCUCUCUGUUGGAACCCAGUCCACGCCGAACUUGGACUGGGACUUCUCUUACUGUUUCCUACAGCUGAAAACCGGAUAAAGAAUUGCCGGGUCUUCUUUUACAGCAAACCCCCUGGUUUCUUCUCUAGACAAGAAUCUCAUCCAUGUUGGUGACCUUUAACCUGACCAAGCAUCAUCUGCGCCCCACAGAAAUGGCCUUGUGGCAUGGCUAAGACAGAAUGAAACGAAGUGGCCAUAGCAAGCGUCCAUGCCUCACGCCUGAUCUCAAGAAGAAAGUGUUCAAUAAUUCACUGUUGUCGUGUUCACUGUUAGAUUUUAUAUACACACUUUACUAGAUUAUGUUCCCUUCCUAGUUUGCUAGGGUUUUGUCUUUUUUUUAAUAACGAGUGAAUAUUAAGUUUUAUCAAAGUGUAUGAGUAUUAAGUUUUACAUAUAUCAUUGAGGUGGAGAAUUACAUUGGUUGAUUUUCAAGUGUUAAAUGAACCUUGCAUUCCCAGAAUAAACCUAACUUGAUCAUAAUGUAUUAUCUUCUUCUACAGUGCUGGAUUUGGUUUGCCAAUAUUUUGCUUGGGAAUUUUGCAUUCAUGUAUAUUAUAGAGAUUGACCUAUAAUUUUCCUUUCAUUUAACAUUCUUUUUAGUUUUGAUAUUGUAUUAGUCUGGGUUCUCCAGAGAAAAAAACAAAUAGGAAAUGCAAAUGGGUAAUUAGGUAGGUAGGUAGGUAAGUAGGUAGAAGUAGAUGCACAUGCAGAUACAGAUGUAGAUACAGACGCAGACACAGAUGUCGAUAUAGGUACAGAUACAGAUGUAGACACAGACACACAGAUACACCCAUACAGGUUGGAAGAUGCAUAUUAACAGGAGAAUAUUGGUAAAGCACUUAGCUCAACAGAGUGUCAAGUCAGUAAUUACUAUUCAAGUUACUUAUAUCUAUAUCUAUGUAUAUCUCUAUCUCCUAUUGGUUCUAUAUCUCUUGAUAUGCCAUGUUUUCAUUACUAUUUAGUUAAAAAUGUUUUCUAAUUUCCAGUAUGAGCUCUUCUUUGACCUAUGGAUUACUUAAUUAUUCAAUUGCCAAUAUUUAGAGAUUUCUAAUUCUUUUUGUUUUUGUUUUUUUAUAGCUCAGUUUAUCAUUAGAAAAAACACUCUAUAUUAAUUCAAUAUUUUGACAUUUGUUGAAUCUUGUUUUUUGAUCCAGCAUGUGGUCAAUUUGGGAAAAUAUUCCAUGUACACUUGAAAAAAUGAGUAAUUUGAAGUUACUGGGGACUCUGUUCUAUAUGUGCUAAUCAAGUUAAGUUUGAUUGUUAUUCAAACUUUAUCAUUUACUGAGAGGUGUAUUGAAGUUUCUAUCUUCGAUAAGCUAUUUGAGGUAGAAGAUAAGGUCUCAAGAGCUUGAUGAAUACGGAGACUAAGAAAAAGAGAUAGUAAAUCUGAUUUGCAUUAGAAAUUAACAGAAAUUUGGGGGAGGUGUGGAAAACCAGAGAAGACAAGAGGGAGAUCCCUAAACUACGCGAUCUGGAGAAGACGAAAGAUUUGUAAAACAAGGGAAUAUCUAAAUAUCUGUCCAAAGAUGUCUGAGUUUCUAUUAAUGUAAACCCCUUCUCUGUCUUUACAGAUCUUCAGUAAAACCUGCUACCCACUAAAACACA
This is a long non-coding RNA of Pteropus alecto (black flying fox), 1867 nucleotides long. RefSeq lists it as uncharacterized. The record is from RefSeq and is a predicted model, not a curated record. Lineage: Eukaryota; Metazoa; Chordata; Mammalia; Chiroptera; Pteropodidae. The transcript is spliced from 3 exons.